RNAcentral lists this ribosomal RNA (448 nucleotides) under uncultured bacterium. RNAcentral's name for it is "SSU rRNA". It matches the Rfam family "Bacterial small subunit ribosomal RNA", at positions 26 to 518 of the family's 1533-position model. The record is from RNAcentral.
AGAGCGAACGCUGGCGGCAGGCCUAACACAUGCAAGUCGAGCGCCCGUAGCAAUACGGGAGCGGCAGACGGGAGAGUAACACGUGGGAACGCGCCCUUCGGUUCGGAAUAACUCAGGGAAACUUGAGCUAAUACCGGAUACGCCCUUACGGGGAAAGAUUUAUUGCCGAAGGAACGGCCCGCGUCCGAUUAGCUUGUUGGUGAGGUAAUGGCUCACCAAGGCGACGAUCGGUAGCUGGUCUGAGAGGAUGACCAGCCUCACUGGGACUGAGACACGGCCCAGACUCCUACGGGAGGCAGCAGUGGGGAAUAUUGGACAAUGGGCGCAAGCCUGAUCCAGCAAUGCCGCGUGAGUGAUGAAGGCCUUAGGGUUGUAAAGCUCUUUACCCGGGAUGAUAAUGACAGUACCGGGAGAAUAAGACUCCGGCUAACUCCGUGCCAGCAGCCGC